ACCGCGAAUGGCUCAUUAAAUCACACAUGAUUUAUUCGAUCGUAAAAUCCUACUUGGAUAACUGUGGAUAAUUCUAGAGCUAAUACAUGCAACAAAGCUCUGACCUGUUAAAGGGACGAGCGCACUUAUUAGACCAAAACCAAUCCACAGUCACAUGCUAAAUCCUUGCGGUUUAUGCAUUUGUUCGGCUGUGGUCAAUGGUGGUGACUCUGGAUAAUUCUGCAGAUCGUAUGGCCUUGUGCUGACGACAGAUCGUUCAAGUGUGUGCCCUAUCAAAUAGACUUUGAGAUAGACGCUCAAAGUGUUUGCUACGGGUAGCGGGGAAUCAGGGUUCGAUUCCGGAGAGGGCGCAUUAGAAAUGGCGACCACAUCCAAGGAAGGCAGCAGGCGCGCAAAUUACCCACUCCUUGAACGGGGAGGUAGUGACGAAAAAUAACAACGCAGGACUCCAUUGAGGCCCUGCGAUUGGAAUGAGUACACUUUAAAUCCUUUAACGAGGAUCAAUUGGAGGGCAAGCCUGGUGCCAGCAGCCGCGGUAAUUCCAGCUCCAAUAGCGUAUAUUAAAGUUGUUGCAGUUAAAAAGCUCGUAGUUGGAUCUCGGUUUCGGGCUAGCGGUCCAUCCUUAUGUGUUGGCUACUGUUAGUACAAAUUCAUCUGUGAAAGGAUGAAUCCCGAACCAAUCUAUUGGCUUGUCUGCCAUGCUCUUUGCCGGGUGUGGUUUCAGAUGGCUAAUAAGUUUACCUUGAAUAAAUAAGAGUGUUCAAAGCAGGCUAUCAAUUGCCUGAAUUUUUGUGCAUGGGAUAAUAAAAUAGGAUCUCGAUUCUAUUUUGUUGGUUUUAAGAACUUGAGAUAAUGAUUAAGAGAGACAGACGAGGGCAUUCGUAUUAAAUGGCGAGAGGUGAAAUUCUUGGAUCCAUNNNNNNNNNNNNNNNNNNNNNNNNNNNNNNNNNNNNNNNUUCAUUAAUCAAGAACGAAAGUCAGAGGUUCGAAGACGAUCAGAUACCGUCGUAGUUCUGACCAUAAACGAUGCCAACUAGUGAUCGAUAGGCGUUGUUAUAAUGACCCUAUCGGCAACCUCCGGGAAACCAAAGUUUUUGGGUUCUGGGGGGAGUAUGGUUGCAAAUCUGAAACUUAAACAGAAUUGACGGAAGGGCACCACCAGAAGUGGAGCCUGCGGCUUAAUUUGACUCAACACGGGAAAACUCACCUGGCCCGGACACUGUAAGGAUUGACAGAUUGAGAGCUCUUUCUUGAUUCAGUGGGUGGUGGUGCAUGGCCGUUCUUAGUUGGUGGAGUGAUUUGUCUGGUUAAUUCCGAUAACGAACGAGACUCUAGCCUACUAACUAGUUUGGUGUAUUCAUUGUGUUCAUGGGGCUUGCCUUCGUGGCACUGAAUACAUCAUUUGUUAACUUCUUAGAGGGACAAGUGUCAUUUAGACACACGAGAUUGAGCAAUAACAGGUCUGUGAUGCCCUUAGAUGUUCAGGGCCGCACGCGCGCUACACUGAAAGCAUCAACGUGCGUACUCUACCUGAUCGGGAACGAUUGGGCAACCCGUUGAACCGCUUUCGUGCUAGGGACUGGAGCUUGCAAUUGUCUCCAUGAACGAGGAAUUUCCAGUAAGCGCUAUUCAUUAGAUAGCGUUGAUUACGUCCCUGCCCUUUGUACACACCGCCCGUCGCUACUACCGAUUGAACAAUUUGGUGAGUCUUUUGGACUGAACCUAACCUAGCAGUUUUACCGCUGCCGGGAUGGUGUUUUGGGAAGACAGGCAAACCUGG
This 1780-nucleotide ribosomal RNA is filed under the name Dinophilus sp. KW-2009. RNAcentral's name for it is "partial 18S ribosomal RNA". It matches the Rfam family "Eukaryotic small subunit ribosomal RNA". The record is from RNAcentral. Lineage: Eukaryota; Metazoa; Annelida; Polychaeta; Dinophilidae.